UUCAGUAGUGAAUCUGUCUAAAGUAAAAAUAACAAGUUUUCAGUAGAUAUACUGAUAUAGCUUUGGCUCAUUGGCUGUCACAUAAAUUAAGCAUUACAAUUUACAAGAUCAAACACCAAGAAUCCAUCCAUUAAAAUUUGAUUUUAUGCAGUGUUGAUCAACAUUGUCAUCCAUAGAAGAGGUGAUUCAACAAAUUUGUGUCAAACGUGGCAUGACAGAUAAGCAAAAGUCCACCAGAAAAAAAUGUUUUCAACUUCACAAAACUACAACACCGAAACGAUAUGAAAUGACCAAGUGAAUAUCGGGCGAUUUACAAACUGAUACCAAUUCACAAAACACGGCGCAUUUUAGAUUCAUUCAAUUCCCAAAAAGUUUCGAUACAGUUAUCUCGAAUCGACCAAAUGGAGAACAACCUUCAACUUGUUCUUCUUCAUGUUCUUCUUCAAUUGGAACAAUUUCUCCAUCCAAGUCAUCUCUAAGAUUAACAAUUCCAUCACUAAUCAAUUUCUUCCUCCUCUUCACGACUCUAGAAUCAUCGAAAUCACUAUCUUCCAUCAAUUCAGUUGAUGGCCAUUCGAAACCUCUAGAAACCCUAGAUUUCACCUCUUUUUCUUCUCCUCUUCUAUCUAUGUUCUUCAUUUUCGAACGAAUUGCAGAUAGCAGAAUUGGGUCCAAGUAAUCUUCAAGCUUAUUCAUGUUCACUUUCCUCGUUUUGAUCGGAUCGCCACGAUUCCUUCAUUUUUAACAAAUUAAUUUGACAAAAAUUGCAAAUUUGAAUUCAAGAGAGAGAGAGAGAGAGAGAGAGAGAGAGAUUACUGAGAUCUAAUGGUGGAGAAUGGUGUUGCAGAAGAAUGAUGAGAAGAAGGUCGGACAAGGCGCUUUUGAAUCUCUUCAGUCGUAGCAAGUGGGUUUGAUGUCCCGCUAAACAUUUUCUCCGAUCAUAUCAAAGCGCGAAACUGUUUGAGCUAGAAAUGGGAAUUUGUAAGUUCUUUAUUUCACUUUCACCCCCCAUCUCAUCUGUUAAAUUACCUAAAUCUCCUUGGUUUAUUUUCUAAAUUAAUAAUUUUCGAUAAGUAUAUUUAAUAUUUGAUAAGUUAAUAAUCUUUCUAAAUUAAUAAAAUUGCAUAAGUCCGAAAGCUAUUAAUUUUUAGAGGUUCUACUAAUCUACUGUUCUACUUUCUGUUGAAUACCAGAUUUGCCCCCUUGGUUAUAUGACAAUAUGAAAUGCCUUCUAAAUGUAUGUUUGAAAAAAAUUAAUGAUUGACAUAUAGGAUGAUGUAAGUUGGCAGGCUUGUGGAUGGAAAUGAACCAAAAGAAAAACAGCAAUAAUAAUUAUAAGAUGGAAAAAACAAAAAAAAUCAAAUUCUUUCUAUAGAUAAGUAGAGACUGAACGUAACAACUAACAAGUCUUGAAACCAAGAAGUUUGAAACUGUGGUGGAUAACAAGGAAGAAUUGUCCCCUCUUACAGAAGAUGAAGUGGUCUUUAGAAGUAUUUUACAAGCUGAAUUAUCUCAGUUGGUAAAGAAAAAAGAGAUUUCUUGGCGACAGAAGUCGAGGGUGAGAUGGAGAGUUGAGGGAGAUGAUAACACUACUUUUUUCCAUCGUAAGGCAAAUGCACGGAAUAGAGUAAAUACUAUCAGCAGGUUGAAGGUGGAUGGUGUCUACAUCUCAGAUCAGGUGGCUAUAGGCAAUCAUAUAGUGGAACACUACGAAAAGCUGUAUUCUGUUGACUAUCUGGUUAGACCGCGACUCGAUAAUCUUGGUUUUCGCGAGAUUGAGGCUGAUAACGCAGAUUUGAUGGUGCUACCAUUUACAGAGGAAGAGGUUCUAAGUGCCUUGAAUGAAUUGAAUGGAGAGAGGGCACCAGGGCCUGAUGGUUUCCCGAUGUUAGUGUUCCAAAAGUGUUGGAAUAUCUUCAAGAACGACAUUAUGAACGUUAUGUUUGAAUUCUAUGAGGAUGAGUCUUUUGACUGGCGGAUCAACACAACUUUCAUCUCUUUGAUCCCCAAGAAGGCAUCGGCAGAAUCUUUGAACGAUUACAGACCUAUAAGUCUGGUAGGUGGAAUCUAUAAAAUCCUGUCUAAGGUUCUCUCUACUAGACUCAGAGUGGUUCUUCCUUCUCUCAUUUCACCGGAACAAUGUGCAUUCGUGGGCAAUAGGCAGAUCUUGGAUGGUGUUUUAAUUGCUAAUGAAGUGAUUGAUACUCGUUUGCGAGCUAAACAAGAAGGUCUUAUUUGCAAGGUUGAUAUAGCUAAAGCCUAUGAUUGCGUGAUGUGGGAGUUUCUUGACUACAUGAUGUUGAGGAUGGGUUUUCAAGUGAAAUGGAGGCGAUGGAUAAAAGUGUGCAUCUCUACUGCUCAUUUUUCUAUUUUAGUGGAUGGCUCUCCUCUUGGCCACUUCACGAGUCAAAGGGGACUACGCCAAGGUGAUCCGAUUUCUCCCCUGUUGUUCAAUUUAGUCAUGGAAGCUUUGAAUGGCCUGGUGAAUAGAGUUGUUCAGCUUGGAUAUCUACGUGGUUUUAAACCAGCCCCUGAAGGUCCAGAAGUUGCUAUUCUUCAGUUUGCUGACGAUACUCUCCUGUUUUGUGAUGCCUCAGUCGACCAAGUUCUGGUAAUUAAGUCUAUUCUUUUGAUUUUUGAAGCUGUCAGUGGGCUUAGUAGCAAUAUGGCUAAGACCAAACUUAUGGCCGUUGGGAAUGUGGGCAACCUGGUUGCUAUGGCUGACUUAUUGGGUUGCGGUAUUGAGUCUUUUCCUUCGAGAUACUUAGGCAUGCCUCUUGGUGCAAAAUUUAAAAAUAAGGAAGUGUGGAAUCCAGUCAUUGAAAGAAUCCAGACCAGAUUGAGUGGUUGGCAGUGUAAGCUGAUAUCAAAGGGAGGAAAACUAGUGCUUCUUCAUAGUAUUCUUGCAAACCUUCCAAUCUAUCAGAUGUCCAUGUUGGUGAUCCCAUCUAGUGUGGCCUUUAGGAUAGAAAGCAAAAUGAAGAAUUUUCUAUGGGGAUCGACGAACGAAAAGAGGAAGUACCACUUAAUUGGAUGGAGUAAAGUCUGCGAAAAGAAAGAAUUUGGUGGUUUAGGAUUGCGCAGAAUCGAGCAAAUGAACAAAGCCCUUAGGGGUAAAUGGUUAUGGCGCUAUGGAGCUGAGAAUGGAAGCUUGUGGAAGUUGAUAAUUGAUUCAAAGUAUGGCAAAGGAAUCAAUGAUUGGUGGCCAAAGGCAGUUUCACAACCAUAUGGUGUUUCUCUAUGGAGGGGUGUGAUGAAUCUUUUCUCUGUCUUCAAAACAGGUUUGCAAUGUAAACUUGGAAGUGGCGAGAAAAUAAGAUUCUGGAUUGAUCAUUGGUUGGGUGACGUGCCUCUAUCUCUGCAGUUCCCUGCUAUGUUCAAUGUAUCGACUAAUAAGCAAGGAACUGUGAGCAGUAUGAGGCCACAGGGUAUUGGAGUUGCUGUGUGGGACUUAUGUUUACGAAGGGCAUUACAUGAUUGGGAACUAGAGGAGCAACAGGACUUGCAGAAUCUCUUGAAUAUGGUGGUUUUUGAGGAGGCAGAUGACUCCUGGAGCUGGAAGGGUGAAAAGAGGGGAGUGUUCACAGUCACAUCUUUCUAUGAGCAGAUUGGGGCUAUGGAAAACUCUCGGAGUGCUACAAGGACUCCUUUUCCUUCUCAUUUGGUGUGGCCUAUUAAGAUGCCUUCUAAAUGCAAAAUCUUUUUCUGGUGUGUGCUCCAUAGUAGUAUUCUGACUACAGACAUUCUGAAUCAUAGAGGAACUGUGGUGGACUUGGUGUGUUCCUCAUGUGGUAUGUUCAAUGAGACCAUUUCUCAUGUUUUGCUUCAUUGCCCCCUUGCUUUGCAGGUCUGGUUCGAUCUGUUACAGCCUAGGCAGAGAUGUUAUGAACUUAUUUUGACUACAGAUACAGUAGAAGAACUGCUUAGUAAUUGGCCGGAAGGUAAGGGUAUCCAGCUUGGUAAAAGGGUGUGGGCUCUCCUCCCCUAUGCAGUGGUGUGGUGUUUAUGGAAAGUGCGCAAUGACAGGAUUUUCAGAAAUCGCAUGGUCUCUGUUGAGCGAAUCUCAGUUGAAGUUAAAGCUGUUGUGUGGUAUUGGUGCGGCUACUGGCCAGGGAGGAGGUUGUUUUCUUUUCAGGACUUGAUCUUAAAUUGGUUUGAACUCUUAAAUGGAUUUCUGAUCAAAGGGGGGAUGCAGCAACAACAACAAGAUUAAACUUCUGUAUUCCUUUACUCUCCUUUUGUUGUUUAUGGGGUUUUAACCUGACGGUGCUCUUGGCAUGCGUUUCAGAUGUAUUAUUUAUUUCUUUUAAUAAAAUUCUUCUUAUCAAAAAAAAAAAAAAAAAAACAAGUCUUGAAGAUUGUGACAAUCAUAAUUGCUAUAUUAUUGGUUUAUUGGAUCUUAUACAUACUGUAUUAAUUAUACAAGUGGCCUGGCUGCACCAAGAUAUGGAUGCUUAUGCCAAAAAAAAUAAUUUAAUUGGAUAUCUUAGAUACAAUUAUACAAAAAAAAUCAAUCACAUUGACACCUUCUAUAGUUUUCAGAAACUGUAUCUCUAUGACCACUGACCAGUAUGCUAUAUAUUUAAAAAGCAUGUCAGCAUUAGUGUAUUAGAAGGUUCAAUUCUAUCUGCUGUCUGCCAAGUCCUUUUGCCUUGUUAUUGUAACUUUUGCAAUCAUAACUAUAUAGGACAGAGGGACCAGUAGUGCAGAAUUGCACAUUAGACAUUACCAUGUUCUAAACAAGGGAAGAUGAUACCAAUUAAAUUACUACAGUCUGCACAUACAUUGCCCUUCCAUGUUCAAAACUCAAAAGAAUGAAGGAAGCAAGGUGUUCUUUGCAAAUUUAAUGGCCAUCCACAUGAAAAACACUUAGAAAUUAUUCCGGAAAGAUAAAAAGAAAAGAAAAAGGAAAGAAGAAGGGGAAACAGAAGAGGAAAAUUUUAGCUGAAGAAAGAAACAAAAGGUCUAUGCAACUAUGCAAGACAACACUGAAGACUAGCUCUUUCUUACAUGAGAAUCCAAAGAGACUGUAGAAAGGAAUAAUCUAUGAGAAAAAAAGGGACAAAAGAGAAAAGAUAGGUUAACUUCAUUUUUAUUCAAUCAAUGAAGUGUAUUUAAUCUUGAUUAAUUAAACAAGAAGACGUACGGGACACUAAAUUAAAGUAAUAGAGAUGCUAUAUUCCCACCUUUUCCCAUUUCUUGUACUUGUGUUUUCAUCUUUUGCAACUUAACUAAAUGAGAAAUCCUAUUUGGGUCUUGUGCCAAUUACAAAAUGACCAACAAAUAUAGUAUUUAGAGAUGAGGAAAAGAACUGGGAAUAAAGUAAGAAAACAUUCUUAAUCUUCAGAAACAUAAUGAUCCUAUAUGUUUACUAACUUUUUCACCUUUCUGUUAAAACUUCAGAUCCAUAAUAUCUUAAGAAACAUAAUAAUUCAUAAACUGCAUCACACUAUGCAUUAACAGUGUAACUUUUGCCUGUGCUUCCUCUUGGUGACUUUACUCAAGAGUCAAGAUUAUUUUAAAUGUGGAUGGAUGUUAAUCAGAUCUGAGGAUUGUAUCAAUUUUGGCUUACAAAGUGCAAUUUAUCAGGCAAUAUUUGAUAUAGGGUCAUAUUAAAUAAACUUAUCAAUCAAGUUCAGAGCGUCUUCGGAU
This 5652-nucleotide long non-coding RNA is filed under the name Aquilegia coerulea. RNAcentral's name for it is "long non-coding RNA (ACOE_LNC000215)". Lineage: Eukaryota; Viridiplantae; Streptophyta; Magnoliopsida; Ranunculales; Ranunculaceae. The record is from RNAcentral.